Long non-coding RNA from Mustela erminea (ermine), 2052 nucleotides. RefSeq lists it as uncharacterized. The record is from RefSeq and is a predicted model, not a curated record. The transcript has 4 exons. NCBI's taxonomy places the organism in Eukaryota, Metazoa, Chordata, Mammalia, Carnivora, Mustelidae.
CUGAAUAUUAGGUAAAGCUCGGCACAUGCCUGCUGCAUUUCGUGACUGUCACACCAGAGACUGUGCCGCAUGUUAAGGAAGCAUAAAGACAGAGCAGGACACAUAAAUGUAGCAGUCAUUCGUUUCACCCGCCCAAAGCAUCCUUGUCGAUUUUCUUCUCACUUCUUUUUCCCCCUGCAGGAUUUGUCUAUUUGUGUUAAUUUGGAGGGCUUUUCCUGUGACCGUCCCUAAUUUCCCACAUAGUUUGAGCCAGUCACCAUCAUCAAGACGAAGGACUCUCCCCACCCCUAGGAGGCUCUUUGUUGGGUACCCCCUCUCCAGCUCUGGGUCUGUGGCUCUGCAGGCUUUAUCUUGCUCUUUCUUCAGGGAAAGGACUUCCCUGACCCCACCCUCUACUACCUGACUGAUCCUGGAGCUCCUUAUUCCUCACUAGUUGUUCUAGAGAGUCACUGAGACACACCACUUCAAGCACACAGAAGCUUGGCCCAACCACUCACACACUCUGGUUCGGUCCGACCACUGGAGAGGAGUCCACCUGGGGCUCCUGCCUCACGGUCUGUUUCCGGUUUCCUGUUUUCUCCUGUUUCCUCACGGUUAGAGAGAGAUUAAAAACUGGCUACCUACUUUUAGCUUAUCUGAAUUCUGCCAAUGUCUCGCAAGACUUGUUUAUGUAUUAUCUACAGUGAACACAGCUGAUGAAUUUUGCCCAUCCUGUUUGCUUUUCUUGGCCUCUGUAGAAGAACUGAAUAUUUUCCCAUAACGGAGCAAACACACACUCUCCCCAGCAUUAUAGAGAAGAGUCUGGAAGUGUGGGGUUGGAACUUAGAGACCAGGCUUUGUCAGGACCUGGGCAGUCCCUCUGGGAGCGGCCUCGUGAUUCUGAACACAGCUUGGCUAAAGGGUGAAUGUGUCUAUGAUGAAACCAACUUGGAUAAACAUCCUUUAAGUCCAGGGAAGCAGCGCUCCGAGAAUGGGUCAGACCUCCACCGUUUGUGACUGGGAGUGAGGCUGUACUUCUGGUGUUGUCUCUGCUGCUUUCCCUUGUGUCUGUUCUAGGCCUUCAGUAAAUCUUCCCAGUUGUGCAGGUCUAUCUUGUCAUUGCUCAUGAAUGCUAGUGGAUACCGUGUAUGUUUCCAUUAAAGCCAGGGUAUCAAAGCGGGUCCAGGCUGCCCUGGGGGGUCAGCAUGUAAUUGAUUCAAGAAAAUUCCAAGAUGAAGGAUUUAUGGAUAAACAAGAGGCGCCACUUAGCAAACUGCCUUCCUCACUUGGAAAUUCUGUCUGGUGCUACCUGAAGGUUGGUGUAGGGAAGGGAUUUCCCUCAUGAAGGUGUCCUGGAACCCCCUUCAAGGAGCUGGAUCUUCUUGCACUCAAUAUUGCAUCUAGUUCAUAGGCCAAUAGGCUUUAAAAUUCGGGGACCCAUCAGUCUUCGUCUCUGCAAACCCAACUGGAGAGUGUUAAUAACAUACAUCUUAUGGAAGCCAAAGCAAAGAGGGUGGCUAUUUUUAACUUGGGGCAGGAAAAUGUGGCUGGAAAGGAAACAUCUGUCCCAAGCUAUUGACUCGUAUGCUUUGUGUAGAGGUCUUUUCUGUCUUGAAACCAUCAAAAAUAAAAUAAGGUGGUUGGUCCAGGCCUGACUCUAGAAGAAAAAGGCAAAGCUUUCCUCAAUUCUCAUUUCUCCUGCUUAUCAUCUGCGUUGGUUCUGUGGGCCCAGAAGAGACCACCUUAGAGGCAGAGGGUGGGGAAAAUGGCCCAAGAGCGGCCUGAUUCCUGUGAAUUUGUGAUUCCUGUGAAUUCCUUCAUCCAAGAUGGCCUCACCCUUUAGGGUUCAAAAUUUACAGAUUCCCCAGUUGGGGGUGGGGCAGGUCACCAGAGGUCUCAUGCUGGGAGAAGACCUCUGAGUGUCAGAAUACUUCCGUUGGCAGUUCUGGCUGCUGCUUUCCAAGCAGAGGAGUUGUUCUUUCUUCUAGGGGCAGCAAGAAAAUUCUCUUUCCUCCAAGACAGGCCAGUCUUCUCUGUGUCUGGCUGGGGGAAGGGGGCAAAUGUGGAUCUGCA